Molecule: non-coding RNA, 1025 nt
Organism: Paramuricea clavata
Lineage: Eukaryota; Metazoa; Cnidaria; Anthozoa; Malacalcyonacea; Plexauridae
Source: the annotation of a GenBank genome assembly
GGUCAGCACAGUUUGUAAACAUGUCACAACUAGUCGGUAACAGCCCAUAAAAUUCUUCCAGCAAUUUGUCUCGAUUUUGUUUGCGGCAAAACAUGUUGUAUAUGGGUGUAACAGCUUGGAAUAAAGCUUUACUCGAAGAAACAUUUUUAAGAGCAUCAUUUAUUUCAUGCCCAAACAGAUCGUCCUUGAUAAGUUUUGUCUUAAUCGCUUCGACAAUGGAAACAAAAUUUUCUUCCGACAGAUGUGUUUCUUGCUCGGAGAUACUUGACAAAGAAUCAUUUUCGCGAUGUUUGGAGUUGGUAUGCCUCGUCAAGCCGCCUUUCGACUUGCAUAUUUUUGUGCAUUUGGGACAAGGAAACGACUUUUUACCUUCGAUUUCUGUCACAGCCUCAACAAAUUCAGCAUCGAUCUCAUCACUUUCAGCUUCAACAACAGCGACAGACAAAUUUAAAUAAAAUGCAUCAUCUGACAAGUCAUCGGCUGGCGUUUCGAACCACGUCUCCGUUUCGUAAUGCUCACUGGGGUCAUCAACAUACUCAUCAGACAAAUUGUAUUCUUCCUCAAUAUCUAUUUCACUCUCCAUAGCGUUUUCUUUCCUUUUAGGCGUGAAACAAGCCCACUAUUGAGAGUUUUAUACAGCCUAAUGUAAUUUGACACUGUAAUUUUAUACAUUGAAAUCAACCGGAAAUCAACAUGAUGCACCUUAUUGUGCACGUGACUAGUUUUUCCUUUGAACCUCAACAUAAUUUGCCGCCCCUUUUGAAGUUUGCCGGCUAGCCUAACCAUCCCCUUCAAUUAACUGUGGGCAAAGCGACUGCAAUGAAAAACGUUUUGUCAGCUCACUCUGAGGCCAGCGAAAUAAUCUCUUCCCAUCCUUACAUGGCGUAUUCGUGCAAGUGGAAAAACAAGAUGGCGACCGACGAAGAGUUGGCAGAAUUUAUAAACAAUCAUAAAUCGCAAUUAUUAAGUUGCGGAAUUCCUAAACUCUACUGGAAUACGUUGUGCGAAAAACUUAAGCAAGAGGU